UUAAAUUGAAGAGUUUGAUCAUGGCUCAGAUUGAACGCUGGCGGCAGGCCUAACACAUGCAAGUCGAACGGUAACAGGAAGAAGCUUGCUUCUUUGCUGACGAGUGGCGGACGGGUGAGUAAUGUCUGGGAAACUGCCUGAUGGAGGGGGAUAACUACUGGAAACGGUAGCUAAUACCGCAUAACGUCGCAAGACCAAAGAGGGGGACCUUCGGGCCUCUUGCCAUCGGAUGUGCCCAGAUGGGAUUAGCUAGUAGGUGGGGUAACGGCUCACCUAGGCGACGAUCCCUAGCUGGUCUGAGAGGAUGACCAGCCACACUGGAACUGAGACACGGUCCAGACUCCUA
RNAcentral lists this ribosomal RNA (346 nucleotides) under Escherichia coli. RNAcentral describes it as "bacterial SSU rRNA". It matches the Rfam family "Bacterial small subunit ribosomal RNA", at positions 1 to 341 of the family's 1533-position model. The record is from RNAcentral. RNAcentral also lists the same sequence under 1 other name. Lineage: Bacteria; Pseudomonadati; Pseudomonadota; Gammaproteobacteria; Enterobacterales; Enterobacteriaceae.